RNAcentral lists this transfer RNA (67 nucleotides) under Marmota monax (woodchuck). RNAcentral describes it as "tRNA.Val". The record is from RNAcentral. Lineage: Eukaryota; Metazoa; Chordata; Mammalia; Rodentia; Sciuridae.
GGUUAUGGCACAGUGGUAGAGCACUCACUUGACAUGUGCAGGGUGCUGGGUUCGAUCCUCAGCACCA